Molecule: ribosomal RNA, 658 nt
Filed under: uncultured Lachnospiraceae bacterium
Lineage: Bacteria; Bacillati; Bacillota; Clostridia; Lachnospirales; Lachnospiraceae
Description: bacterial SSU rRNA
Rfam family: Bacterial small subunit ribosomal RNA
Source: RNAcentral
UGCAAGUCGAACGAGCGAGAGAGAGCUUGCUUUCUCGAGCGAGUGGCGAACGGGUGAGUAACGCGUGAGGAACCUGCCUCAAAGAGGGGGACAACAGUUGGAAACGACUGCUAAUACCGCAUAAGCCCACAGGUCGGCAUCGACCAGGGGGAAAAGGAGCAAUCCGCUUUGAGAUGGCCUCGCGUCCGAUUAGCUAGUUGGUGAGGUAAUGGCCCACCAAGGCAACGAUCGGUAGCCGGACUGAGAGGUUGAACGGCCACAUUGGGACUGAGACACGGCCCAGACUCCUACGGGAGGCAGCAGUGGGGAAUAUUGCACAAUGGGGGAAACCCUGAUGCAGCGACGCCGCGUGGAGGAAGAAGGUCUUCGGAUUGUAAACUCCUGUUGUUGAGGAAGAUAAUGACGGUACUCAACAAGGAAGUGACGGCUAACUACGUGCCAGCAGCCGCGGUAAAACGUAGGUCACAAGCGUUGUCCGGAAUUACUGGGUGUAAAGGGAGCGCAGGCGGGAAGACAAGUUGGAAGUGAAAUCUAUGGGCUCAACCCAUAAACUGCUUUCAAAACUGUUUUUCUUGAGUAGUGCAGAGGUAGGCGGAAUUCCCGGUGUAGCGGUGGAAUGCGUAGAUAUCGGGAGGAACACCAGUGGCGAAGGCGGCCU